CACUCUGUGUCGGAGUACAGUGAUUCUCCACAGCUUGUACUUUCUUGGUAAUAAAGGAUUUGUGUUUUUUUUCUAAACAGGUCAGUAUCUUGUUAUUGCAGCAAGUCCGUGGGAGUAUCCGAAAACAAACCUGACAGUAAGACAUAUCUCAAAGGAUUUGGGAGCUUGUCAAAUAGGAUUGCAGAGGAAAUUGUGCAUCUACCAGAACCAUGAAGCAGAAGGCACUGACUCCAAUGAUGGUUUCUCCAACAUCGUACAACAUCUCUUUGGCGGGGAUUGAUCGGAAAGACCUGAUUUCUUGAAUUAUUUUCCAGCUUCAGAUACUAAACUGAAGGAGACAGAUUGAGUUUUGUGCACAGCAUCUAGAAUGAGAAUGGGACAUCCCUGACAGACAUCCUGUCAAUUGGAACUAUGAUGUAAUGAAGGACAAGUCAAUAGUGAAUAUCUACUGACAUGGGAUAAUUUUAACAGAUCGUGGGAUACAAGUGCAUCAGGGAAACAGAACAGAAUGCAGGAGACAGUGUUUUGGCAGCGGAGAGAGACCAACAUGAACAUUUAAGAGCUUCCAACACCCGGCCCUGACCUCCGACUCCCAACCUCCGAAGUGGGAACGCCAGCAAUCAGCAGCCUGAAGCUGGGACAUCAGUGACCACUGACAUGACCAAUAGUGCAGUUUACUCAGGCAAGAAUCAGAAUUAUCAUCAGGUUGGAUGUAAGAAAGUGUGUCAGAGCUGAAUAAUGUUCGACUCACUGGAGAAAGAAAUGGUUACAUUUGUACAGCACAUUUCCCCAUUACCAAUGUGAUGAUUAAGGAAGUACCAUGUAAGAAUAUGAUUCAUUUUAAAGCAAUUGCCUCAGAAACCGACCCACACAUGGAAUUGAUCUGUGACACCCUUCACUCUUCAAUAAAGAACUGAACAACUUGUAAUAUGUAGAUCGGCCAACAAGAGGUGAGGCUACUUUGGAUUUGGUUCUGGGUAAUGAACCAGGCCAGGUGUUAGAUUUGGAGGUCGGUGUGUAUUUCGGUGAUAGUGACCACAGCUCGGUUAUGUUUACUUUAGUGAUGGACAGGGACAGGUUUAUACUGCAGGGCCGGAGUUAUUGCUGGGGGAAAGGCAAUUAUGAGAUGAUUAGGCAAGAUUUAGGAUGCACAGGAUGGAGAAGGAAACUGCAGGGGUUGGGCAGAAAUGAAAUGUGGAUCUUGUCCCAGCAACAGCUCAAUCGAGUCCUUGAUAAGCAUGUACCUUUCAGACAGGGAGAAAGUGGUCAAGCGAGGGAACCGUGGUUUACUAAAGAAGUUGAAACUCUUGUCAAGUGGAAGAGAGAGGCUGAUGUAAAGAUGAGAUGUGAAGGCUCAGUUAGUGCACUUGAGAUUUACAAGAUAGCCAGGAAGGACCUGAAGAGAGAGCUAAAAAGAGCCAGGAGGGGACAUGAGAAGUCUUUGGCAGGUAGGAUCAAGGAACACCCUAAAGCUUUCUAUAGGUGUGUCAGGAAUAAAAGGAAGACUCAAGUAAGAUUAGGUCCAAUCAAGGACAGUAGUGUCAAGUUGUGCGUGGAGUGCGAAGAAAUGGGAGAGGCACUGAAUGACUAUGUUUUGUCGGCAUUCACAUAGGAAAAAGACAAUGUUGUCGAAGAGAAUACUGACAUAUAGGCUAUUAGGCGAGACGGAAUUGAGUUUCACAAGGAGGUGUUUGCAAAUCUGGAAGGUGUGGACAUAGAUAAGCCCUCUGGGCCGGAUGGGAUGUAACCUAGGAUUCUCUGGGAAGAGAGGGAUGAGAUUGCAGAGCCUUCGGCUUUGAUCUUUAUGUCGUUCAUAUCUUCAGGAAGAGUGCAGAAGACUGGAGGAUAUCAAAUGUUGUCCCUUUGUUCAAGAAGGGGAGGAGGGGCAAUCCUGGUAAUUACAGACCAGUGAGCCUUACUUCGGUUGUGGGUAAAGUGUUGGAAAGGAUUAUAAGAGGUAGGAGUUAUAAUCAUCAGAAAGGAGUAAUUUGGUUCAGGAUAGUCAACAUGGUUUUGUGAAGGGUAAGUUGUACCUCACAAACCUUACUGAGUUCUUUGAGAAGGUGACCAAACAGGUGGAUGAGGGUAAAGCGGUUGAUGUGGUGUGUAUGGAUUUCAUUAAAGGAUUUGAUAAGAUUCCCCAUGGUCGGCUAUUGCAGAAAAUAGGGAGGCAUGGGAUUGAGGGUGAUUUAGCGGUUUGGAUCAAAAAUUGUCUGGUUGGAAAAAGACAGUGGGUGGUGGUUGAUGGGAAAUGUUCAUCCUGGAGUUCGGUUACUCGUGGUGUACCACAAGGAUGUAUUUUGAGGCCCUGCUGCUUGCCAUUUUUAUAAAUGACCUGGAUGAGAGCGUAAAAGGAUGGCUUAGUAAAUUUGUGGAUGACACUAAUGACACACUAAUGGAUAGUGCGGAAGGAUGUUGCAGGUUACAGAGUGACAUUGGAAAACUGCAGAGAUGGGUUGAGAGGAGGCAAAUGGGCUUUAAUGCGGAAAAGUGUGAGGUGAUUCACUUUGGACGAAGUAAUACGAAUGCAGAGCACUGGGCUAAUGGUAAGAUUCUUGGUAGUGUGGAUGAGCAGAGAGACCUCGGUGUCCAUGUACAUAGAUCCCUGAAAGUUGCCUCCCAGGUUGAUAGUUGUUAAGACGGUGUAUGGUGUGUUAGGUUUUAUUGGUAGAGGGUUGUGUUUCGGAGCCAUGAGGUUAUGCUGCAGCUGUACAAAACUCUGGUGCGGCUGCACUUGGAGUAUUGCAUACAGUUCUGGUUGCCGCAUUAUAGGAAGGAUGUGAAAGCAUUGGAAAGGGAGCAGAGGAGAUUUACCAGGAUGUUGCCUGGUAUGGAGGGAAGGUCUUAUGAGGAAUGGCUGAGGGACUUGAGGCUGUUUUCAUUAUAGAGAAGAUGGUUAAGAGGUGACUUAAUAGAGUCGUACAAGAUGAUCAGAGGAUUAGAUAGGGUAGACAGUGGGAGCCUUCUUCCCUCAGAUAGAGAUAGCUAUCACGCGGGACCAUAGUUUUAAAUUGAAGGGUGUUAGAUAUAGGACAGAUGACGGAGGUAGGUUCUUUACUCAGAGCGUACUAAGGAUGUGGAAUGCCGUGCUUGCAACAGUAGGAGACAUGCCAGCUAUGAGGGCAUUUAAAUGGUCAUUGGAUAAACGUAUGGAUGACAAUGGAAUAGUGUAUGUUAGAUGGGCUUCAGGUUGGUUUCACAGGUUGGCAAAACAUCGAGGGCGAAAGGGCCUGUCCUGUGCUGUAAUGUUCUACGUUCUGUCUCCCUUCAACUUUUGCCCUUACAAUUUGUUCCUGUGUCCCCUUAUAAUUGAAACUUCAACCCUGUGAAAAAAACCUCUGAACUUCCAGCCUGUCCAUGCCUCUCAUAUAGUUGUAGAUCUCAAUCAGGUCUCCUUUCAGCUACUAUCUUUCCAGUGAAAAACAAUCCUCGUCUUUAUAACCUUUCCUCAUUGCUCAUGCCCUUGAGAUCGGGCAACACCCUGGUAAACCUUCCCUGCACUCUUUCCAAAGCUUCCACAUCCUUCUGGCAAUGUGGUAAACAAAACUGCACCCAAACCUGUGUGGAAGUACUUUGUCCUCCCUUUUUCACAAAGUACUCCAUUCUUGCAAUUGGGUAUGAGUCUGAUUUACUCAUAGCAUUGACCUUCCAAUAAUCCACACAGAAUCAUUGAGUACCAUCAGGUUUAGGAACCAACAUGGCCGCCAAAUGCCACUCGCUUUGACUUUGCUCAAUAAUAUCUCCUUAAAGCAUUGCUUCCACUGCUUUCUGUAUGUGUGCUCCUUUGAGAGGAUUAUGCCUGUAGGGGUGUUGUUUUAUCAGAACGGCAUUCCCUCCAUCAAUCUCAUCUACUAUGUUAUCAGUCCUCCCCGAUUCUAUUUCCACUGAUGCCCUCAUUUCACUGCAACUUCAGUUCUCUGUUCCUGGUACAGAUAGCUCGCUGUCCUAUCCAUUUCUUAGAGGACAUCCUCAUUAUUCAACUUAUCUAAGGCACAUCAAAAACAACAUCAUCUGGAUUUGAUUCCUUGCUUUGAAUGACUAACACCUCUUUCUUUGGUUCUCUGGACUGAGUUGAUUCAUUUGGAGUAUCUCCAAUGGUAAAUUAUGUAAAUGAGAUAUCUUUAUUCCAAUCAUUUGGGAAUCCUGGUAAUAAGCUCUCAGCAAUGUCUUUAGGGUCCGAUGCCAUUUUUUCAAUGCUCCCUCGGAUUCAUCAUGGCCCACACUUGAUGUAAAGUGUUUGAUGCCUAAACUAUCCAUGACCUCCUUAAAUUAGCCCCUCGGUCUGACUGAAUCUCCAUGGGUGAAAGCGACGAAGAUGUCUGCAACGUUUUUUUGCUUUGACAUUCCGUUAUGGAAUUUCUUCCAGAAAUCUGGUAAACAGUCCAUUAUAGUCAGCAAACACUGGUUCCCAGUUACAGUUUCAGGGAGGGGACCUAAACAAUCAAUGAUAACCCCCAUGAAUAGUUCUUCAAAUGUGGGGAUUGGCAUCAAUGGCCCUGGUUUUAUUUCUGCCUGCGGCUUUCCAAACAUCUGAAACAUAUGACAGGUACAGCAAAAUUCUACCACAUCCUCAUGUAAUCCAGGGCAAAGGAAAUUAUUUUGUGUCUCUGCCUGAAUCUUCCUGACUCCGAGAUGGCCUCCUGCAGGUAAUUUGUGAGCUACGUGCAAUUAUUCCUGUCUCUAUGCUGCCGCCAACACAAUCUGCUAAGUCUCUGCUCAUUUCUCAUCUGCAUGAACCAGCCAAGGGUCCAUUUCAACCUUCAUAUUUUAUCCUUGAGGUGAUAACGUUUCUUUUUCAGAGUAGGCUUUCUGAUAUAAAUUCUUUGUUGCCUCAUCUUUUUGUGGUAACUCCAUUGAUCUUUUAGAACUAAACACUUCUGCCUGAUCCCUCUCCCUGUUGAGGUUAUUUCCUGUACCAUUUCAUCAAACUGGGUGUCAGAAAACUGGCACUCAAAUCCUUCAUCUUUCUCUUUUGCUUUCACUUCUUGAUUUUAACUUAUGGCUGUGGGACCUUGUCACAACACAGUACAGAAAAAAAAUACAGUCUUUUCCCUUUAACUCCUCAGUUCCUUUGUUUUCUUUCAACCUCUCUGCUUCAAUGGGCAUCACUGCCACAUUUGAUCUAGGUCUAUCAUUUCCGAGAACACACGGUAUUCAUGAAAUAGCCAUUCUUUCAAUCGCUCUCAUUAUCACUUCCAAAGUCUUGAAUGGAAUUUCUAGCCUUCCCUUACACAAAGGAACACUCAUUCUUUCUCCACUUAUUCCAAAGAUUAGCACUCACUCUGGCAAUAAUUCACAAGGAGUGCAAAUAUUUACCCUCUUAUCACUAGAGACUGACUAACUUCUGCAAAUCUGUCAAAUGUUUGACCUGUUCCCCCAUUCUACCUGAGUAGACCUCACGAACGCUUCGAAAGACUUUGGAAAGAUCGGGCAUUCUCUAACUUUCCAGUCCGAGACUAGGCUGGGCGUUCUCCUGCAGCUCCUCAACUUCUCCUGUGAUUUUCUUCACUUCCUCAACUAAUCCCACUGGUUUAGCCUCUCCUACCACAUCCUUUUUGCCAUUGGCUCCCUUAACCCACCAGUUCUGUGGCUUUGUGUACCCUACCUUAAUGCAGUGAAUACACCUGAGGUCUUUUUUUCUCUUUUUCACCCUCUUGGAUUUCUGUUGUCUCGUGUGGCAAGCUGCUCCCAGUGUGAUCUACUUUUUGGUUUUCAUUGAAGGAGCUCUAUGUUUCCAAAAGUCUAUCCCUUAUCAAUUGAAAUGACUGUCGGUAGUUGGAUUUUGGUUUAUGCACUAAAGCAUAAUCAUCCACCAUCUCUGCAGCUCCUCUCGCUAUUUGAACUUUCUGUUUCUCAACAUGAGUUGUUGUCAUGUCUGGAAGUGUGUUUUUAAACUGCUGCAACAUGAUAACACCUCUAAGAUCCUCAUAGGUCUCUUCUAUCCUCAAGGCUCUCACGCAUCUAUCGAAGUUAUUCUGUUUAGCUCUUUCAAAAUGAAUAAAAGUCUGACCUGCUUCCUCUCUAUAUUUCUGAACCGUUGUCGAGGUGCUUAUAGUCCAUAUUAUGGGCAUUCAAAAUUGCCUGUUUUGCAUGGUUAUAUAUCCCUAUCAGGUCUUUGGCUGUGCUGGGUUUGCUUAUCAUCAAUAUUCUCCUCAUGAAGCCACUCUAGUUUCUUCAUUUCAAUCAUUUUAAGUUUCCUAUCCGACUGAACUUGCAACUUCCGAAGUUUAAAUUUUCUCUCCUUUUCUUUUUGCCUUUCUUCUACUUCUGACCAAAAUUCAAACUG
Molecule: long non-coding RNA, 6286 nt
Organism: Stegostoma tigrinum
Lineage: Eukaryota; Metazoa; Chordata; Chondrichthyes; Orectolobiformes; Stegostomatidae
Exons: 3
Source: RefSeq, a predicted model, not a curated record